This 180-nucleotide unclassified non-coding RNA is filed under the name Basidiomycota sp. RNAcentral's name for it is "partial contains small subunit ribosomal RNA, internal transcribed spacer 1, and 5.8S ribosomal RNA". The stretch from base 1 to 47 matches the Rfam family "Eukaryotic small subunit ribosomal RNA", at positions 1785 to 1831 of the family's 1831-position model. The record is from RNAcentral. Lineage: Eukaryota; Fungi; Basidiomycota.
AAAGUCGUAACAAGGUUUCCGUAGGUGAACCUGCGGAAGGAUCAUUAGUGAAUGCCCUUUGGGGCUUAUCCGACCAACCUCUGUGAACCGUGGCCUUCGGGCCUUUACAAACAUUGAACGUAAAGAACGUAGCAAACCUAUAACAAAACAAAACUUUCAACAACGGAUCUCUUGGCUCUC